UGGGGAAUAUUGCACAAUGGGCGCAAGCCUGAUGCAGCCAUGCCGCGUGUAUGAAGAAGGCCUUCGGGUUGUAAAGUACUUUCAGCGGGGAUGAAGGGAGUAAAGUUAAUACCUUUGCUCAUUGACGUUACCCGCAGAAGAAGCACCGGCUAACUCCGUGCCAGCAGCCGCGGUAAUACGGAGGGUGCAAGCGUUAAUCGGAAUUACUGGGCGUAAAGCGCACGCAGGCGGUUUGGUAAGUCAGAUGUGAAAUCCCCGGGCUCAACCUGGGAACUGCAUCUGAUACUGGCAAGCUUGAGUCUCGUAGAGGGGGGUAGAAUUCCAGGUGUAGCGGUGAAAUGCGUAGAGAUCUGGAGGAAUACCGGUGGCGAAGGCGGCCCCCUGGACGAAGACUGACGCUCAGGUGCGAAAGCGUGGGGAGCAAACA
RNAcentral lists this ribosomal RNA (427 nucleotides) under uncultured bacterium. Its description in RNAcentral is "partial 16S ribosomal RNA". It matches the Rfam family "Bacterial small subunit ribosomal RNA", at positions 355 to 774 of the family's 1533-position model. The record is from RNAcentral.